Molecule: ribosomal RNA, 446 nt
Filed under: uncultured bacterium
Lineage: Bacteria
Description: partial 16S ribosomal RNA
Rfam family: Bacterial small subunit ribosomal RNA
Source: RNAcentral
GUGGGGAAUAUUGGACAAUGGGGGGAACCCUGAUCCAGCCAUGCCGCGUGGAGGAAGACUGCCCUCUGGGUUGUAAACUCCUUUUAUAUGGGAAGAACCGUCCUCAUUAAUGAGUGACCUGACGGUACCAUAGGAAUAAGCACCGGCUAACUCCGUGCCAGCAGCCGCGGUAAUACGGAGGGUGCAAGCGUUAUCCGGAUUCACUGGGUUUAAAGGGUGCGUAGGCGGAUAAAUAAGUCAGUGGUGAAAUCAACGGGCUCAACCUGUUAACUGCCAUUGAUACUGUGUAUCUUGAAUAUGAGAGAGGUAGGCGGAAUGUUGCAUGUAGCGGUGAAAUGCUUAGAUAUGCUACGGAACACCGAUUGCGAAGGCAGCUUACUAUUUCGUAAUUGACGCUGAGGCACGAAAGCGUGGGUAGCGAACAGGAUUAGAUACCCCAGUAGUCC